This is a long non-coding RNA of Populus nigra (black poplar), 1070 nucleotides long. RefSeq lists it as uncharacterized. The transcript has 3 exons. The record is from RefSeq and is a predicted model, not a curated record. Lineage: Eukaryota; Viridiplantae; Streptophyta; Magnoliopsida; Malpighiales; Salicaceae.
UUUUUACCCACACACACCAAUUCAUCACCACAACACUCUAAUGAGUGCUGAGAAAAAAAAGCAAAAGAAAAACGAGUCUAAGUGGUGGGUGAGGCAAUGACCAUGAUUGUGCCUGUGCUGCUAUAUCCAACCAUGUCUUCCCGAUUUCCUGCAUACCCCAACGCGCAUAACCCCACUUCCAAAAAACAAAAUAUGGCCAUAUCCCCACUUUCUUAGAUGCAAAGCAAUAAACCAUAAUCAUUUAGUGAUAACCACCUUAUAUAUUAACAUUAUUAUAUACAGGCUUUCUCUCCUUUUGUUUCUUUUUUUGUUCUCAUACCUGUCCAUUACUGAUAACAAACACAGCUAAAAGGGUGGAUAUGCAUGGUAUAUCAAUACAUAGGGAGAACACAUACAGCGAGAUAUAUCAAGUUUAACCUCAUUGACUGUACUCCUGGCGGCCUCGGGGCAGAACAGGUGCACUUCUUUGGUGUGCUCUUGCUAUGUACCUUCAAGAAACUUUAUCAACAAAGGUGAAGAAAGCAACAAAACUGAGAGGGGAUCCUUCGCAGAAAAGAAAGAAUAUGGGGUCAUGGAAGAAGUCAGUACUUAUGAAUCAGUACAGGAUCAUCAAAAGAGCAAUGGUGGAAGAAAUAGGAGAAGCAGUAGUCCUAGUGGGUCUAAUAAUGGACCUCACAUAGAAACUUCUACUCUCAAGAGUAAUCUCAAGAAAACUGCUUCUACUACUACAAUUGAGGAAAAUCAAGCAAGGACAGAUCAUCAAAAGAGGAAAGUAAGUUGGCCUGAUAUUGCAUAUGGCACAGAUAUUGCUCAUGUUCUUGAAUUUGAACCGAGCAUCUCUGAUGAUGGAGAACUUGAAGGAGCAAGGAAUUCUUGUGUUUGUACAAUUCAAUGAACAAGAAAUCCUGCCAUAGAUGGAUCUCCUGGUGAUGCAAUUCUUCAAGAGCAUUUCACAGUAUUCACAUUCUUGUAUUUAUUUACAUAGAAUAAGUCCUCUAGAACAUUGAAGAUAGAAAACAUGUGUAGAAAACGAAAGGGCAGUGAAAAUUUUCCAGAAUUCUUUUAUUUAA